Molecule: small nucleolar RNA, 89 nt
Organism: Capsicum annuum
Lineage: Eukaryota; Viridiplantae; Streptophyta; Magnoliopsida; Solanales; Solanaceae
Product: small nucleolar RNA snoR109
Exons: 1
Source: RefSeq, a predicted model, not a curated record
UGGCUGUAGCAAUAGAUUUUUAUCUGAGAAGUUAACUGGCCGGUUGCUGCGAUCAAUCAGCAUAUCUGCUUACCGAACUACUAACAUAU